RNAcentral lists this small nucleolar RNA (96 nucleotides) under Macleaya cordata. Its description in RNAcentral is "Small nucleolar RNA SNORD34". It matches the Rfam family "Small nucleolar RNA SNORD34". From Rfam's summary of the family: snoRNA U34 is found in intron 5 of the ribosomal protein L13a gene in humans. The record is from Rfam by way of RNAcentral. Lineage: Eukaryota; Viridiplantae; Streptophyta; Magnoliopsida; Ranunculales; Papaveraceae.
AGAGGCCGAUGAUGACGAUGAGAGAUAAUGCCUACAUUGUUUGAUGUUUUAUAUAUAUGAUAUAAAGAAUCCAAACAAGAAAUCUCUGAGGCCUCU